AAAAACCUUUAUAAACUCUUAACUCAUAAAAUUUUAAUUUUCAUAUCUCGUUGUUAUGCAAUCUAAUCCUCGAUAAAUCUUUUUUUUCUAAAUUCACCGUUGAAAUUAAAUAUGUUUAUGCAUAAUGGUCUCAUGUAAAUAGCUAUGUGCAACUAGAGACCAAUAGUAACUUUGAGUUAUUUUAGACGAGAUUCUAGUGAUUGAAUAUCCUUGGGUUGACGCACGGCUGUGGACAAUUUUUGCCAUGUAAUGGUUUGAUAUUGAUUUCUUAUAAUAAUUCUUCGGCCAAAUAUAUAAGUUUGAAUCAACUCUGGUCAAUUAGCUACUUGGCUUUUAUAUCAAAAAAGCCAAUUUGCAUGUCAUGGAAAUACUAAUUAAAAAAUAAUCUUAUAUUGGCUGAUAAUCGUUAUUGAGCCAAGUAUAAGCUUAGAUCAACUCUAAAGUCAUAGAAUCAUAGGCAAAUUCAAAUAUGAAUGGGGACAAAAACUGGCUUUCAGUACUUACGAGUUAGAUCUUUGGAUGUUUAUAUUUAUUAGUAGAUCAUAACUAAUUCCAUGGAACAACUCCAUAGAAAAAUGAAGCAAGAAGGAAAGGCUUUAUAUACGAUGUCAUAGGACCUAUAAAUUUAAUUAAUAAGUUCUUUUUAUUUUAAGUUGAGAAAAGAUUAAAUAAAUGGUUAUUUUUCGGUUAUGUCCUCCAAUUUUGUAGAACCGACCCUGAUUAUAGCAAUAAUGCAUCACCACCAAAUAUAAAGUACACCAACUAAUCGGAUUUAAACACUAAACUUAUUAUUAUCAAUCAUCAAGUUUGAUAUUUCCUCAUAUGGUCGAGGUUGCUCAAAGAAAUGAAUUAUAUGGUAGGAGGUUCGAGUACCACAUAUUUAAAAAACAUUUUGUCCAACAAAGUACUUCAACAAUUAAUGGUCCAUACAUUACCACCCUACCCCCCACCAACCAACAAAUAUGAAGAUGUCAGUUAGCGGAAAUUAACGGCAAUUUAGCUGUUGUGAAUUUAAUGAACUGUAGCCCAAACUGAAGGCUCGGUAGGCAUCGAAGUAGGUCCUUUGAUACCCUAUGUUCAAAUAUUGAACUUCACGGAUGUGUUCUUUAAUGCAAUGGAUUUUUUUCAGACGUAUUCAUAAGAUUUCAUAUUAUUUGAGAUACAAAUAUUUUAAUUUUAUUAAAAUUCGAAAAAAUUAUUAAGUCUUAUGAUUUAAUGAUAUAGUAACAUUAUAUUUCAAAAUCAUAUGGCUUAACAACUUUUCAAAUUUUAAUAAAAUUUUAGAUCCUGAAUCAGAUCAUUACUUAAUUUUAGAUACACUUGUCACACACACAGACACACACAUAUGGUUAUUAUCAUUUAACUAUUUUAAGAAUUGUAAUAUAUCAAAUGACUACGAGAAAUAUGAUGCUCUAUCAUUUUACUAUUAUAUUUUUAUAAAACCUAUUAUUUUACUACAUUUUCAUUAGCAGUUAGUUCAACAGCUAGUUGACUAAUUAAAUAUUAAUUUGGCUAGUUAUAUGAAUUUUUAAGAAAAAGGUAAUGCACAAAGGAUUACAAUAUUAUAAUUCAAAAUAUAAAGUAGCUAAAAAUAAUCCCUAUAUCCUAUGAAAAUAAUUAGGUGUGGGCAAAUUUGGGUUCGGAUCAGAUUCGGAUCAACCUAAUCGAAUUUCGAUUAAUCGAUUUGAGAGAAAUAUAACCCAAAUUCAACCCGAACAUAUAAUUUGGUUUUUUUAGAUUUUCGGAUUAGAUCUGGUUUGAGCCGGUUCGAACAUGAUUGAUUCGAUCAAGUUGGCCAAAAUCUAAGCUAAUCGAGUUAGAGUCUUCAUCCAAAACUAAUCCGAACCCAAAUUUUUUGAGGUGGAUCAAUUAGAAUCUGGUCAUUUGCCCACCCUUAAAAAUAAUAUUUGAUAAUUGUAUUUGCAUAGUUUUUCCAUGGUAAAAUUAGGAUUUUAUUAAUCAAUUAACUGGUCCACUAUCGUACUAAUAGAAAUCUUGUAAAAUGACAAGUUUUGUAAAAAUUUAGUAUUAAAAUGAUAACCUACAAUACUUUUUAUAGUAGUUUAAUACAUUGUAAUUCUUAAAGUAGACAAAUGAUAAUAUCCAACUUUUGGAUUGGUUAAAGUUCAAAAAAGUUAUUAAACUACAUGGAUUAAUAGAGUAACAACUGGAAAACUAUUAAACCACGUA
RNAcentral lists this long non-coding RNA (2190 nucleotides) under Citrus x clementina. RNAcentral's name for it is "Citrus clementina (C. clementina) long non-coding RNA (CCLE_LNC004010)". The record is from RNAcentral. Lineage: Eukaryota; Viridiplantae; Streptophyta; Magnoliopsida; Sapindales; Rutaceae.